CAUUUUGUUCCUCUGUCAGAUCAUCAGUGAAGCUUUAUAAAGCCUCCAUUCCCUGGUUGAAGGCACACUGCUUCCAGUGAGUCCUGCUGCUGCUUUGACUCUUCAUCACAACAAGAUGAAAUUCGUCCUUUUUACUUUGUUCCUUUGUGGAUCCAUCCUGGAAAUCAAUGCAGGACGUGAUUUUC
Molecule: long non-coding RNA, 185 nt
Organism: Poecilia latipinna (sailfin molly)
Lineage: Eukaryota; Metazoa; Chordata; Actinopteri; Cyprinodontiformes; Poeciliidae
Exons: 3
Source: RefSeq, a predicted model, not a curated record